UUACGGCCAUAUCACGUUGUAACACCGGUUCCUGUACGAUCACCGAAGUUAAGCAACGUUGAAUCUGGUCAGUACCUAGAUAGAUGACCGCUUGGAAUACAAGGUGCUGUAU
This 112-nucleotide ribosomal RNA is filed under the name Acanthosepion pharaonis. Lineage: Eukaryota; Metazoa; Mollusca; Cephalopoda; Sepiida; Sepiidae. The record is from RNAcentral.